UACGUAGGGUGCGAGCGUUAAUCGGAAUUACUGGGCGUAAAGCGUGCGCAGGCGGUUUUGUAAGACAGCUGUGAAAUCCCCGGGCUCAACCUGGGAACUGCGGUUGUGACUGCAAGACUGGAGUGUGGCAGAGGGGGGUGGAAUUCCACGUCUAGCAGUGAAAUGCGUAGAGAUGUGGAGGAACACCGAUGGCGAAGGCAGCCCCCUGGGUCAACACUGACGCUCAUGCACGAAAGCGUGGGGAGCAAACAGG
RNAcentral lists this ribosomal RNA (253 nucleotides) under uncultured bacterium. RNAcentral describes it as "partial 16S ribosomal RNA". It matches the Rfam family "Bacterial small subunit ribosomal RNA", at positions 524 to 776 of the family's 1533-position model. The record is from RNAcentral.